This 460-nucleotide ribosomal RNA is filed under the name uncultured bacterium. Its description in RNAcentral is "partial 16S ribosomal RNA". It matches the Rfam family "Bacterial small subunit ribosomal RNA", at positions 338 to 795 of the family's 1533-position model. The record is from RNAcentral.
CCUACGGGAGGCAGCAGUGAGGAAUAUUGGUCAAUGGACGAGAGUCUGAACCAGCCAAGUAGCGUGAAGGAUGACUGCCCUAUGGGUUGUAAACUUCUUUUAUAUGGGAACAAAAUCUUCCACGUGUGGACUUUUGUAUGUACCUUAUGAAAAAGGAUCGGCUAACUCCGUGCCAGCAGCCGCGGUAAUACGGAGGAUCCGAGCGUUAUCCGGAUUUAUUGGGUUUAAAGGGAGCGUAGGUGGAAUGUUAAGUCAGGUGUGAAAUUUUGGGGCUCAACCGUAGAAUGGCAGUUGAAACUGGCAGUCUUGAGUACAGGAGAGGUGAGUGGAAUUCGUGGUGUAGCGGUGAAAUGCUUAGAUAUCACGAAGAACUCCGAUGGCGAAGGCAGCUCACUGGACUGCAACUGACGCUGAGGCUCGAAAGUGUGGGUAUCAAACAGGAUUAGAUACCCGAGUAGUC